RNAcentral lists this ribosomal RNA (809 nucleotides) under uncultured bacterium. Its description in RNAcentral is "bacterial SSU rRNA". It matches the Rfam family "Bacterial small subunit ribosomal RNA", at positions 8 to 796 of the family's 1533-position model. The record is from RNAcentral.
AGAGUUUGAUCCUGGCUCAGAACGAACGCUGGCGGCGCGUCUUAAACAUGCAAGUCGUACGUGGUCCCUGGUGCUUGCAUUAGGGUGAAAGUGGCGAACGGGUGAGUAACACGUGGAUAAUCUGCCUCUAGGAUUGGGAUAACCACUGGAAACGGUGGAUAAUACCGAAUAAGAUGGUGGGGGCAUAAGCUCCAGCCAUUAAAGGUGGGGACCGCAAGGCCUAUCACCUAGAGAUGAGUCCGCGGUCCAUUAGCUAGUUGGCAGGGUAACGGCCUACCAAGGCAGCGAUGGAUAGCCGGCCUGAGAGGGUGUCCGGCCACAUUGGGACUGAGAUACGGCCCAAACUCCUACGGGAGGCAGCAGUUAAGAAUCUUGCGCAAUGGGCGAAAGCCUGACGCAGCGACGCCGCGUGGAUAAUGAAGGCCUUUGGGUUGUAAAGUCCAUUAGACAGGGAAGAAUAAGCAAAGGGUAAUAUUCUUUGUGAUGACGGUACCUGUUAAAAGUCUCGGCUAAUUACGUGCCAGCAGCCGCGGUAAUACGUAUGAGGUAAGCGUUGUUCGGAAUUAUUGGGCGUAAAGGGCGUGUAGGCGGGGGAUUAAGUUAGGUGUGAAAUCCUUGGGCUCAACCCAAGAACUGCAUCUAAUACUGGUUCUCUUGAAUCCAGGAGGGGAGAGCGGAAUUCCCGGUGUAGCGGUGAAAUGCGUAGAUAUCGGGAAGAACACCAGUGGCGAAGGCGGCUCUCUGGCCUAGGAUUGACGCUGAGGCGCGAAAGUGUGGGGAGCAAACAGGAUUAGAUACCCUGGUAGUCC